RNAcentral lists this non-coding RNA (30 nucleotides) under Rattus norvegicus (Norway rat). The record is from RNAcentral. Lineage: Eukaryota; Metazoa; Chordata; Mammalia; Rodentia; Muridae.
UAAGGCUUUAUUAUUUUUACCCUUCUCCUA